AUUGAACGCUGGCGGCAUGCUUUACACAUGCAAGUCGAACGGCAGCGGGGAGGAGCUUGCUUCUCUGCCGGCGAGUGGCGCACGGGUGAGUAAUACAUCGGAACGUGUCGAGAAGAGGGGGAUAACCACCCGAAAGGGUGGCUAAUACCGCAUAAAUUCUGAGGAAGAAAGCUGAGGACCUAGUAAUAGGCCUAGCGCUUUUUUAGCGGCCGAUGUCGGAUUAGCUAGUUGGUGAGGUAAAGGCUCACCAAGGCGAAGAUCUGUAGCGGGUCUGAGAGGAUGAUCCGCCACACUGGGACUGAGACACGGCCCAGACUCCUACGGGAGGCAGCAGUGGGGAAUUUUGGACAAUGGGGGCAACGCUGGACCAGCCAUGCCGCGUGUAUGAAGAAGGCCUUAGGGUUGGAAAGUACUUUUGUUAGGGAAGAAAAGGCAGCUGUGAAUAAUGGCUGAUACUGACGGGACCUAAAGAAUAAGCACCGGCUAACUACGGGC
Molecule: ribosomal RNA, 495 nt
Filed under: uncultured bacterium
Lineage: Bacteria
Description: partial 16S ribosomal RNA
Rfam family: Bacterial small subunit ribosomal RNA
Source: RNAcentral